This 274-nucleotide ribosomal RNA is filed under the name uncultured bacterium. RNAcentral describes it as "partial 16S ribosomal RNA". It matches the Rfam family "Bacterial small subunit ribosomal RNA", at positions 523 to 796 of the family's 1533-position model. The record is from RNAcentral.
AUACGGAGGGUGCAAGCGUUAAUCGGAAUUACUGGGCGUAAAGCGUACGUAGGCGGUUCGUUAAGUUAGGUGUGAAAGCCCCGGGCUUAACCUGGGAACUGCAUUUAAAACUGGCGAACUAGAGUUGAGUAGAGGGGAGUGGAAUUUCAGGUGUAGCGGUGAAAUGCGUAGAGAUCUGAAGGAACACCAGUGGUGAAGGCGGCUCCCUGGACUCAAACUGACGCUGAGGUACGAAAGCGUGGGUAGCAAACGGGAUUAGAAACCCCAGUAGUCC